Fukomys damarensis (Damara mole-rat) is the source of this 134-nucleotide small nucleolar RNA. The record is from Ensembl. NCBI's taxonomy places the organism in Eukaryota, Metazoa, Chordata, Mammalia, Rodentia, Bathyergidae.
CUUGAGGUCUAUCCCCAUGGGGCUUCUCCUGUGGCUGCAUAUCUUUGGAAAUGCUUCACAGCCCAACACUGUGGUUUUAGCUUUCUUCAUAGCUCUAUAUCUUAGGCCUGUGAUAAGGCAGUUACAAGACAUAA